CCUACGGGCGGCAGCAGUGGGGAAUAUUGCACAAUGGGGGAAACCCUGAUGCAGCGACGCCGCGUGAGUGAAGAAGUAAUUCGUUAUGUAAAACUCUAUCAGCAGGGAAGCAAAUGACGGUACCUGAGUAAGAAGCCCCGGCUAACUACGUGCCAGUAGCCGCGGUCAUACGUAGGGGGCAAGCGUUAUCCGGAUUUACUGGGUGUAAAGGGAGCGUAGACGGCAGUGCAAGUCUGGAGUGAAAGGCGGGGGCUCAACCCCCGGACUGCCCUGGAAACUGUACGGCUGGAGUGCAGGAGAGGUAAGUGGAAUUCCUAGUGUAGCGGUGAAAUGCGUAGAUAUUAGGAGGAACACCAGUGGCGAAGGCGGCUUACUGGACUGUAACUGACGUUGAGGCUCGAAAGCGUGGGGAGCAAACAGGAUUAGAUACCCGGGUAGUC
This 440-nucleotide ribosomal RNA is filed under the name uncultured bacterium. RNAcentral describes it as "partial 16S ribosomal RNA". It matches the Rfam family "Bacterial small subunit ribosomal RNA", at positions 338 to 795 of the family's 1533-position model. The record is from RNAcentral.